This 464-nucleotide ribosomal RNA is filed under the name uncultured bacterium. RNAcentral's name for it is "bacterial SSU rRNA". It matches the Rfam family "Bacterial small subunit ribosomal RNA", at positions 330 to 792 of the family's 1533-position model. The record is from RNAcentral.
UCCAGACUCCUACGGGAGGCAGCAGUGAGGAAUAUUGGUCAAUGGCCGAGAGGCUGAACCAGCCAAGUCGCGUGAGGGAUGACGGCCCUACGGGUUGUAAACCUCUUUUGUCGGGGAGCAAAGAGAGUCACGUGUGACUCAUUGAGAGUACCCGAAGAAAAAGCAUCGGCUAACUCCGUGCCAGCAGCCGCGGUAAUACGGAGGAUGCGAGCGUUAUCCGGAUUUAUUGGGUUUAAAGGGUGCGCAGGCGGAAGAUCAGGUCAGCGGUAAAAUUGAGAGGCUCAACCUCUUCGAGCCGUUGAAACUGGCUUUCUUGAGUGAGUGAGAAGUAUGCGGAAUGCGUGGUGUAGCGGUGAAAUGCAUAGAUAUCACGCAGAACUCCGAUUGCGAAGGCAGCAUACCGGCGCUCAACUGACGCUCAUGCACGAAAGUGUGGGUAUCGAACAGGAUUAGAUACCCGAGUA